UACGGAGGGUGCAAGCGUUGUUCGGAAUCACUGGGCUUAAAGCGCGUGUAGGCGGGGUGCCAGGUGUCGAGUGAAAGCCCCGGUCUCAAACCGGGAAUGGCUCGGCAAACCGGCGCUCUUGAGGCAGAUAGAGGUGACUGGAACGACUGGUGGAGCGGUGAAAUGCGUAGAUAUCAGUUGGAACGCCAGCGGCGAAAGCGGGUCACUGGAUCUGUCCUGACGCUGAGACGCGAAAGCGUGGGUAGCAAACAGGAUUAGAUACCCGUGUA
RNAcentral lists this ribosomal RNA (269 nucleotides) under uncultured prokaryote. RNAcentral's name for it is "partial 16S ribosomal RNA". It matches the Rfam family "Bacterial small subunit ribosomal RNA", at positions 524 to 792 of the family's 1533-position model. The record is from RNAcentral.